AACAAUUUCCUCAAUGCAUGAUUUUUAUGAUUUUCUUAGCAAUUUUGUCAAUUAUUAAACAUCAGAUAUGAUUGUUUUGCAAUGAGCCACACAGCAUAGAAUGAGAUCACACUGCCCCCCAGGGCACAUCCAAGUUGGCGGAACAAUCAUAUUGGGGGGCUCUGGAACCAAGUGUGGGGAGUUCGAUUCCUGGUUGGAGCAGCC
This 204-nucleotide long non-coding RNA is filed under the name Olea europaea (common olive). Its description in RNAcentral is "long non-coding RNA (OEUR_LNC015191)". The record is from RNAcentral. Lineage: Eukaryota; Viridiplantae; Streptophyta; Magnoliopsida; Lamiales; Oleaceae.